GAUGAACGCUAGCGACAGGCUUAACACAUGCAAGUUCGAGGGGCAGCGAGGGUGUAGUAAUACAUUUGUCGGCGACCGGCGCACGGGUGAGUAACGCGUAUGCAACCUACCUUGUACAGGGGGUUAGCCCAUGGAAACGUGGAUUAACACCGCAUAAGAUUAUAGAUCGGCAUCGAUUCGUAAUUAAAUAUUUAUAGGUACAAGAUGGGCAUGCGUCCUAUUAGAUAGUUGGUGAGGUAACGGCUCACCAAGUCAACGAUAGGUAGGGGUUCUGAGAGGAAGGUCCCCCACAUUGGAACUGAGACACGGUCCAAACUCCUACGGGAGGCAGCAGUGAGGAAUAUUGGUCAAUGGACGAGAGUCUGAACCAGCCAAGUCGCGUGAAGGAAGACUGCCCUACGGGUUGUAAACUUCUUUUAUUUGGGAAGAAUAAGUGGUAUGUAUACCAUGAUGCCUGUACCAAAUGAAUAAGCAUCGGCUAACUCCGUGCCAGCAGCCGCGGUAAUAC
This 508-nucleotide ribosomal RNA is filed under the name uncultured bacterium. Its description in RNAcentral is "bacterial SSU rRNA". It matches the Rfam family "Bacterial small subunit ribosomal RNA", at positions 28 to 526 of the family's 1533-position model. The record is from RNAcentral.